UACGUAGGACCCGAGCGUUGUCCGGAUUUACUGGGUAUAAAGGGUGCGUAGGCGGCCUUGUGCGUCAGAGGUGAAAUAUCCGGGCUUAACCCGGAGGGUGCCUUUGAUACGGCAGGGCUUGAGUGCGAGAGAGGAUGAUGGAAUUCCUGGUGUAGCGGUGAAAUGCGUAGAUAUCAGGAGGAACACCGGUGGCGAAGGCGGUCAUCUGGCUCGUAACUGACGCUGAGGCACGAAAGCGCGGGGAUCAAACAGGAUUAGAUACCCUGGUAGUCCGCGCCCUAAACGAUGUAUGCUUGGUGUUGGGUCCGCAAGGACUCAGUGCCGUAGGGAAUCUGAUAAGCAUACCACCUGGGGAGUACGAUCGCAAGGUUG
This 372-nucleotide ribosomal RNA is filed under the name uncultured prokaryote. Its description in RNAcentral is "bacterial SSU rRNA". It matches the Rfam family "Bacterial small subunit ribosomal RNA", at positions 524 to 896 of the family's 1533-position model. The record is from RNAcentral.